AGCGAACGCUGGCGGCAGGCUUAACACAUGCAAGUCGAACGCCCCGCAAGGGGAGUGGCAGACGGGUGAGUAACACGUGGGAACGUACCCUUUGGUUCGGAAUAACUUGGGGAAACUCAAGCUAAUACCGGAUAAGCCCUUAUGGGGAAAGGUUUACUGCCGAAGGAUCGGCCCGCGUCUGAUUAGCUAGUUGGUGAGGUAAUGGCUCACCAAGGCGACGAUCAGUAGCUGGUCUGAGAGGAUGAUCAGCCACACUAGGACUGAGACACGGCCCAGACUCCUGCGGGAGGCAGCAGUGGGGAAUAUUGGACAAUGGGGGCAACCCUGAUCCAGCCAUGCCGCGUGAGUGAUGAAGGCCUUAGGGUUGUAAAGCUCUUUUACCCGGGACGAUAAUGACUGUACCGGGAGAAUAAGCCCCGGCUAACUUCGUGCCAGCAGCCGCGGUAA
RNAcentral lists this ribosomal RNA (447 nucleotides) under uncultured bacterium. Its description in RNAcentral is "partial 16S ribosomal RNA". It matches the Rfam family "Bacterial small subunit ribosomal RNA", at positions 29 to 523 of the family's 1533-position model. The record is from RNAcentral.